GACGAACGCUGGCGGCGUGCUUAACACAUGCAAGUCGAACGGAAAGGCCCUGCUUUUGUGGGGUGCUCGAGUGGCGAACGGGUGAGUAACACGUGAGUAACCUGCCCUUGACUUUGGGAUAACUUCAGGAAACUGGGGCUAAUACCGGAUAGGAGCUCCUGCUGCAUGGUGGGGGUUGGAAAGUUUCGGCGGUUGGGGAUGGACUCGCGGCUUAUCAGCUUGUUGGUGGGGUAGUGGCUUACCAAGGCUUUGACGGGUAGCCGGCCUGAGAGGGUGACCGGCCACAUUGGGACUGAGAUACGGCCCAGACUCCUACGGGAGGCAGCAGUGGGGAAUAUUGCACAAUGGGCGGAAGCCUGAUGCAGCGACGCCGCGUGCGGGAUGACGGCCUUCGGGUUGUAAACCGCUUUCGCCUGUGACGAAGCGUGAGUGACGGUAAUGGGUAAAGAAGCACCGGCUAACUACGUGCCAGCAGCCGCGGUGAUACGUAGGGUGCGAGCGUUGUCCGGAUUUAUUGGGCCGUAAGGGCUCGUAGGUGGUUGAUCGCGUCGGAAGUGUAAUCUUGGGGCUUAACCCUGAGCGUGCUUUCGAUACGGGUUGACUUGAGGAAGGUAGGGGAGAAUGGAAUUCCUGGUGGAGCGGUGGAAUGCGCAGAUAUCAGGAGGAACACCAGUGGCGAAGGCGGUUCUCUGGGCCUUUCCUGACGCUGAGGAGCGAAAGCGUGGGGAGCGAACAGGCUUAGAUACCCUGGUAGUCCACGCUGUAAACGGUGGGUACUAGGUGUGGGGUCCAUUCCACGGGUUCCGUGCCGUAGCUAACGCUUUAAGUACCCCGCCUGGGGAGUACGGCCGCAAGGCUAAAACUCAAAGGAAUUGACGGGGCCCCGCACAAGCGGCGGAGCAUGCGGAUUAAUUCGAUGCAACGCGUAGAACCUUACCUGGGUUUGACAUGGAUCGGGAGUGCUCAGAGAUGGGUGUGCCUCUUUUGGGGUCGGUUCACUGGUGGUGCAUGGCUGUCGUCAGCUCGUGUCGUGAGAUGUUGGGUUAAGUCCCGCAACGAGCGCAACCCUUGUUCACUGUUGCCAGCACGUUAUGGUGGGGACUCAGUGGAGACCGCCGGGGUCAACUCGGAGGAAGGUGGGGAUGACGUCAAGUCAUCAUGCCCCUUAUGUCCAGGGCUUCACGCAUGCUACAAUGGCUGGUACAGAGAGUGGCGAGCCUGUGAGGGUGAGCGAAUCUCGGAAAGCCGGUCUCAGUUCGGAUUGGGGUCUGCAACUCGACCUCAUGAAGUCGGAGUCGCUAGUAAUCGCAGAUCAGCAACGCUGCGGUGAAUACGUUCCCGGG
RNAcentral lists this ribosomal RNA (1343 nucleotides) under uncultured bacterium. RNAcentral's name for it is "16S ribosomal RNA". It matches the Rfam family "Bacterial small subunit ribosomal RNA", at positions 28 to 1378 of the family's 1533-position model. The record is from RNAcentral.